Molecule: ribosomal RNA, 506 nt
Filed under: uncultured bacterium
Lineage: Bacteria
Description: partial 16S ribosomal RNA
Rfam family: Bacterial small subunit ribosomal RNA
Source: RNAcentral
AUUGAACGCUGGCGGCAGGCCUAACACAUGCAAGUCGAACGGCAGCACAGAAGAGCUUGCUCUUUGGGUGGCGAGUGGCGGACGGGUGAGUAAUGUCUGGGAAACUGCCCGAUGGAGGGGGAUAACUACUGGAAACGGUAGCUAAUACCGCAUAACGUCGCAAGACCAAAGUGGGGGACCUUCGGGCCUCACACCAUCGGAUGUGUCCAGAUGGGAUUAGCGAGUGGGUGGGGUAAUGGCUCACCUAGGCGACGAUCCCUAGCUGGUCUGAGAGGAUGAGCAGCCACACUGGAACUGAGACACGGUCCAGACUCCUACGGGAGGCAGCAGUGGGGAAUAUUGGACAAUGGGCGCAAGCCUGAUGCAGCCAUGCCGCGUGUAUGAAGAAGGCCUUCGGGUUGUAAAGUACUUUCAGCGGGGAGGAAGGGGGUGAGGUUAAUAACCUCGCCGAUUGACGUUACCCGCAGAAGGAGCACCGGCUAACUCCGUGCCAGCCGCCGCAGUAA